UUACGGCCAUAUCACGUUGAAAUACCGGUUUCCGUACAAUCACGGAAAUUAAGAAACGUCGAGCAUACACGGUACCUUGAUGAGUGACCGCUUGGGAAUACCAGUUGCCGUAA
Acanthosepion pharaonis is the source of this 113-nucleotide non-coding RNA. Lineage: Eukaryota; Metazoa; Mollusca; Cephalopoda; Sepiida; Sepiidae. The record is from the annotation of a GenBank genome assembly.